GCGGCUCUCUCUGUCACCGUGUCCCGUCCUAGUAGCUAGGAGCGACCACGGAAAUACGUGCGAUACCACGCGGAUUUUCCAGCCUCUCCAUCCCGUCGAUUCCGGUUACUAGUGGGCAAGGAGCGGGGAGUAACUGAGAAGUGCGCCGCUAAUAUUCGUUGCUGCGGCCAUUACGCGAGCGGCCAAGGGCGAGCGACCGUUGUGCGUCCCAGUUGGAUCUGAUUAACUCGUGAUUGAAGGACCAGAUUGAACCGUGAUUACGCUAUUCCUUCGUUAUUCAACGUCGUACGACCCACUGGGUGAAGAGGUAACUAGAGCGUCGACAUGGGUAAAGAGAAGAUUCAUAUAAACAUCGUGGUGAUCGGCCACGUCGACUCGGGCAAAUCAACCACCACCGGUCAUCUCAUCUACAAAUGCGGCGGUAUCGACAAGCGUACAAUCGAGAAGUUCGAGAAGGAGGCUCAGGAGAUGGGCAAGGGCUCGUUCAAGUACGCCUGGGUAUUGGACAAGCUGAAAGCUGAACGCGAACGUGGUAUCACCAUCGAUAUAGCCCUGUGGAAAUUCGAAACGGCCAAGUACUACGUAACCAUCAUCGACGCACCUGGCCAUCGUGAUUUCAUCAAGAACAUGAUCACCGGGACGAGUCAGGCUGAUUGUGCCGUCUUGAUCGUAGCGGCUGGUAUAGGUGAAUUCGAAGCCGGCAUCUCGAAGAACGGACAAACGCGCGAGCAUGCUUUGCUAGCGUUCACACUCGGCGUGAAACAGCUGAUCGUCGGUGUGAACAAGAUGGACAUGACCGAUCCGCCGUAUUCGGAGAGCCGUUUCGAGGAGAUCAAGAAAGAGGUGUCGUCGUACAUCAAGAAGAUCGGUUACAACACCGGAUCGGUGGCGUUCGUGCCGAUUUCCGGCUGGCACGGUGACAAUAUGCUCGAACCAUCGCCAAAGACACCGUGGUACAAGGGAUGGAAAGUGGAGCGUAAAGAUGGCAACGCCGAUGGGAAAACCUUGAUCGAAGCGCUCGAUGCUAUACUGCCGCCGUCCAGACCUAUCAGCAAGGCUCUUCGUUUACCGCUUCAGGACGUUUACAAGAUCGGUGGUAUCGGUACUGUACCGGUCGGUCGUGUGGAGACCGGUAUUUUGAAGCCAGGUAUGCUGGUGACAUUUGCCCCAACAGCGCUCACCACUGAAGUAAAAUCGGUCGAGAUGCAUCACGAGGCGUUAACAGAGGCGUUGCCCGGCGACAACGUCGGCUUCAACGUGAAGAACAUCUCCGUGAAGGAGUUGAGGCGUGGUUACGUCGCUGGCGACUCGAAGAAUCAGCCGCCUCGAGGGGCGGCCGAUUUCACGGCUCAGGUGAUCGUUCUUAACCAUCCUGGACAGAUCUCCAACGGUUACACGCCGGUGUUGGACUGUCACACCGCUCAUAUCGCCUGCAAAUUCGCGGAGAUCAAGGAGAAAUGCGACCGUCGUACCGGCAAAACCACUGAGGAGAACCCGAAGAGCAUCAAAAGCGGGGACGCUGCUAUCGUGAUGUUGCAGCCCACUAAACCAAUGUGCGUCGAGGCUUUCCAGGAGUUUCCGCCGUUGGGUCGCUUCGCGGUUCGCGACAUGCGUCAGACCGUCGCCGUGGGCGUCAUUAAGCUUUGAUCCUGGUAGAACGAUGCGUGCUCCUUUGUUCUGUCGGUUUUUGCGGAGAAUAAAGGAAACGUGAGAGAAGGCUGAAAGGGUAGUCCGUGAAGGAUGAUUUGAGUGUCACCUUCAAAGAUACCCAGGGCAAGGUCACAAAGGCCGCGGAGAAAGCCCAGAAG
RNAcentral lists this unclassified non-coding RNA (1808 nucleotides) under Habropoda laboriosa. RNAcentral's name for it is "elongation factor 1-alpha, transcript variant X1". Lineage: Eukaryota; Metazoa; Arthropoda; Insecta; Hymenoptera; Apidae. The record is from RNAcentral.